AGACCCGAAACCCGGUGAUCUAGCCAUGGGCAGGUUGAAGGUUGGGUAACACUAACUGGAGGACCGAACCGACUAAUGUUGAAAAAUUAGCGGAUGACCUGUGGCUGGGGGUGAAAGGCCAAUCAAACCGGGAGAUAGCUGGUUCUCCCCGAAAGCUAUUUAGGUAGCGCCUCGUGAAUUCAUCUCCGGGGGUAGAGCACUGUUUCGGCUAGGGGGCCAUCCCGGCUUACCAACCCGAUGCAAACUGCGAAUACCGGAGAAUGUUAUCACGGGAGACACACGGCGGGUGCUAACGUCCGUCGUGAAGAGGGAAACAACCCAGACCGCCAGCUAAGGUCCCAAAGUCAUGGUUAAGUGGGAAACGAUGUGGGAAGGCCCAGACAGCCAGGAUGUUGGCUUAGAAGCAGCCAUCAUUUAAAGAAAGCGUAAUAGCUCACUGGUCGAGUCGGCCUGCGCGGAAGAUGUAACGGGGCUAAACCAUGCACCGAAGCUGCG
This 495-nucleotide ribosomal RNA is filed under the name Salmonella enterica subsp. enterica serovar Infantis. Its description in RNAcentral is "partial 23S ribosomal RNA". It matches the Rfam family "Bacterial large subunit ribosomal RNA", at positions 711 to 1204 of the family's 2925-position model. Lineage: Bacteria; Pseudomonadati; Pseudomonadota; Gammaproteobacteria; Enterobacterales; Enterobacteriaceae. The record is from RNAcentral. RNAcentral also lists the same sequence under 9 other names.